RNAcentral lists this ribosomal RNA (2907 nucleotides) under Salmonella enterica subsp. enterica serovar Newport. RNAcentral's name for it is "23S ribosomal RNA". It matches the Rfam family "Bacterial large subunit ribosomal RNA". The record is from RNAcentral. Lineage: Bacteria; Pseudomonadati; Pseudomonadota; Gammaproteobacteria; Enterobacterales; Enterobacteriaceae.
GGUUAAGCGACUAAGCGUACACGGUGGAUGCCCUGGCAGUCAGAGGCGAUGAAGGGCGUGCUAAUCUGCGAUAAGCGCCGGUAAGGUGAUAUGAACCGUUAUAACCGGCGAUACCCGAAUGGGGAAACCCAGUGUGAUUCGUCACACUAUCAUUAACUGAAUCCAUAGGUUAAUGAGGCGAACCGGGGGAACUGAAACAUCUAAGUACCCCGAGGAAAAGAAAUCAACCGAGAUUCCCCCAGUAGCGGCGAGCGAACGGGGAGGAGCCCAGAGCCUGAAUCAGCAUGUGUGUUAGUGGAAGCGUCUGGAAAGGCGCGCGAUACAGGGUGACAGCCCCGUACACAAAAGCGCAUGUGCUGUGAGCUCGAUGAGUAGGGCGGGACACGUGGUAUCCUGUCUGAAUAUGGGGGGACCAUCCUCCAAGGCUAAAUACUCCUGACUGACCGAUAGUGAACCAGUACCGUGAGGGAAAGGCGAAAAGAACCCCGGCGAGGGGAGUGAAAAAGAACCUGAAACCGUGUACGUACAAGCAGUGGGAGCACAGGUUUACCUGUGUGACUGCGUACCUUUUGUAUAAUGGGUCAGCGACUUAUAUUCUGUAGCAAGGUUAACCGUAUAGGGGAGCCGAAGGGAAACCGAGUCUUAACCGGGCGUUAAGUUGCAGGGUAUAGACCCGAAACCCGGUGAUCUAGCCAUGGGCAGGUUGAAGGUUGGGUAACACUAACUGGAGGACCGAACCGACUAAUGUUGAAAAAUUAGCGGAUGACCUGUGGCUGGGGGUGAAAGGCCAAUCAAACCGGGAGAUAGCUGGUUCUCCCCGAAAGCUAUUUAGGUAGCGCCUCGUGAAUUCAUCUCCGGGGGUAGAGCACUGUUUCGGCUAGGGGGCCAUCCCGGCUUACCAACCCGAUGCAAACUGCGAAUACCGGAGAAUGUUAUCACGGGAGACACACGGCGGGUGCUAACGUCCGUCGUGAAGAGGGAAACAACCCAGACCGCCAGCUAAGGUCCCAAAGUCAUGGUUAAGUGGGAAACGAUGUGGGAAGGCCCAGACAGCCAGGAUGUUGGCUUAGAAGCAGCCAUCAUUUAAAGAAAGCGUAAUAGCUCACUGGUCGAGUCGGCCUGCGCGGAAGAUGUAACGGGGCUAAACCAUGCACCGAAGCUGCGGCAGCGACACUGUGUGUUGUUGGGUAGGGGAGCGUUCUGUAAGCCUGUGAAGGUGUGUCGUGAGGCAUGCUGGAGGUAUCAGAAGUGCGAAUGCUGACAUAAGUAACGAUAAAGCGGGUGAAAAGCCCGCUCGCCGGAAGACCAAGGGUUCCUGUCCAACGUUAAUCGGGGCAGGGUGAGUCGACCCCUAAGGCGAGGCCGAAAGGCGUAGUCGAUGGGAAACGGGUUAAUAUUCCCGUACUUGGUGUUACUGCGAAGGGGGGACGGAGAAGGCUAUGUUGGCCGGGCGACGGUUGUCCCGGUUUAAGCGUGUAGGUGUGUGUUCCAGGUAAAUCCGGUUCACUUUAACACUGAGGCGUGACGACGAGGCACUACGGUGCUGAAGCAACAAAUGCCCUGCUUCCAGGAAAAGCCUCUAAGCAUCAGGUAACAUCAAAUCGUACCCCAAACCGACACAGGUGGUCAGGUAGAGAAUACCAAGGCGCUUGAGAGAACUCGGGUGAAGGAACUAGGCAAAAUGGUGCCGUAACUUCGGGAGAAGGCACGCUGACACGUAGGUGAAGUGAUUUACUCAUGGAGCUGAAGUCAGUCGAAGAUACCAGCUGGCUGCAACUGUUUAUUAAAAACACAGCACUGUGCAAACACGAAAGUGGACGUAUACGGUGUGACGCCUGCCCGGUGCCGGAAGGUUAAUUGAUGGGGUCAGCGCAAGCGAAGCUCCUGAUCGAAGCCCCGGUAAACGGCGGCCGUAACUAUAACGGUCCUAAGGUAGCGAAAUUCCUUGUCGGGUAAGUUCCGACCUGCACGAAUGGCGUAAUGAUGGCCAGGCUGUCUCCACCCGAGACUCAGUGAAAUUGAACUCGCUGUGAAGAUGCAGUGUACCCGCGGCAAGACGGAAAGACCCCGUGAACCUUUACUAUAGCUUGACACUGAACAUUGAGCCUUGAUGUGUAGGAUAGGUGGGAGGCUUUGAAGUGUGGACGCCAGUCUGCAUGGAGCCGACCUUGAAAUACCACCCUUUAAUGUUUGAUGUUCUAACGUGGACCCGUGAUCCGGGUUGCGGACAGUGUCUGGUGGGUAGUUUGACUGGGGCGGUCUCCUCCUAAAGAGUAACGGAGGAGCACGAAGGUUGGCUAAUCCUGGUCGGACAUCAGGAGGUUAGUGCAAUGGCAUAAGCCAGCUUGACUGCGAGCGUGACGGCGCGAGCAGGUGCGAAAGCAGGUCAUAGUGAUCCGGUGGUUCUGAAUGGAAGGGCCAUCGCUCAACGGAUAAAAGGUACUCCGGGGAUAACAGGCUGAUACCGCCCAAGAGUUCAUAUCGACGGCGGUGUUUGGCACCUCGAUGUCGGCUCAUCACAUCCUGGGGCUGAAGUAGGUCCCAAGGGUAUGGCUGUUCGCCAUUUAAAGUGGUACGCGAGCUGGGUUUAGAACGUCGUGAGACAGUUCGGUCCCUAUCUGCCGUGGGCGCUGGAGAACUGAGGGGGGCUGCUCCUAGUACGAGAGGACCGGAGUGGACGCAUCACUGGUGUUCGGGUUGUCAUGCCAAUGGCACUGCCCGGUAGCUAAAUGCGGAAGAGAUAAGUGCUGAAAGCAUCUAAGCACGAAACUUGCCCCGAGAUGAGUUCUCCCUGAGACUUAGAGUCUCCUGAAGGAACGUUGAAGACGACGACGUUGAUAGGCCGGGUGUGUAAGCGCAGCGAUGCGUUGAGCUAACCGGUACUAAUGAACCGUGAGGCUUAACCUU